GUGGGGAAUAUUGGACAAUGGGCGCAAGCCUGAUCCAGCCAUGCCGCGUGAGUGAUGAAGGCCUUAGGGUUGUAAAGCUCUUUCACCGAUGAAGAUAAUGACGGUAGUCGGAGAAGAAGCCCCGGCUAACUUCGUGCCAGCAGCCGCGGUAAUACGAAGGGGGCUAGCGUUGUUCGGAUUUACUGGGCGUAAAGCGCACGUAGGCGGUUUGUUAAGUCAGAGGUGAAAUCCCGGAGCUCAACUCCGGAACUGCCUUUGAUACUGGCAAGCUAGAGUCCGGAAGAGGUAAGUGGAACUCCUAGUGUAGAGGUGGAAUUCGUAGAUAUUAGGAAGAACACCAGUGGCGAAGGCGGCUUACUGGUCCGGAACUGACGCUGAGGUGCGAAAGCGUGGGGAGCAAACAGGAUUAGAUACCCCGGUAGUCC
RNAcentral lists this ribosomal RNA (425 nucleotides) under uncultured bacterium. Its description in RNAcentral is "partial 16S ribosomal RNA". It matches the Rfam family "Bacterial small subunit ribosomal RNA", at positions 354 to 796 of the family's 1533-position model. The record is from RNAcentral.